GUUAAAAGCUCGUAGUUGGAUUUCUGGCAGGAGUGACCGGUCACGCACUCUGUGCGUGAACUUGUGUUGUCUCUGGCCAUCCUUGGGGAGAUCCUGUUUGGCAUUAAGUUGUCGGGCAGGGGAUACCCAUCGUUUACUGUGAAAAAAUUAGAGUGUUUAAAGCAGGCUUAUGCCGUUGAAUAUAUUAGCAUGGAAUAAUAAGAUAGGACUUCGGAACUAUUUUGUUGGUUUGCGUUACGAAGUAAUGAUUAAAAGGGAUAGUUGGGGGUAUUCGUAUUCAGCUGUCAGAGGUGAAAUUCUUGGAUUUUCUGAAGACGAACUACUGCGAAAGCAUUUACCAAGGAUGUUUUCAUUAAUCAAGAACGAAAGUUAGGGGAUCGAAGAUGAUUAGAUACCAUCGUAGUCUUAACCAUAAACUAUGCCGACUCGGGAUCGGAGGUUGUUUUUUGACUCCUUCGGCACCGUAUGAGAAAUCAAAGUCUUUGGGUUCCGGGGGGGAGUAU
RNAcentral lists this ribosomal RNA (503 nucleotides) under uncultured eukaryote. RNAcentral describes it as "SSU rRNA". It matches the Rfam family "Eukaryotic small subunit ribosomal RNA", at positions 618 to 1126 of the family's 1831-position model. The record is from RNAcentral.